GACGAACGCUGGCGGCGUGCUUAACACAUGCAAGUCGAACGGAAAGGCCCUGCUUUUGUGGGGUGCUCGAGUGGCGAACGGGUGAGUAACACGUGAGUAACCUGCCCUUGACUUUGGGAUAACUUCAGGAAACUGGGGCUAAUACCGGAUAGGAGCUCCUGCUGCAUGGUGGGGGUUGGAAAGUUUCGGCGGUUGGGGAUGGACUCGCGGCUUAUCAGCUUGUUGGUGGGGUAGUGGCUUACCAAGGCUUUGACGGGUAGCCGGCCUGAGAGGGUGACCGGCCACAUUGGGACUGAGAUACGGCCCAGACUCCUACGGGAGGCAGCAGUGGGGAAUAUUGCACAAUGGGCGGAAGCCUGAUGCAGCAACGCCGCGUGCGGGAUGACGGCCUUCGGGUUGUAAACCGCUUUCGCCUGUGACGAAGCCUGAGUGACGGUAAUGGGUAAAGAAGCACCGGCUAACUACGUGCCAGCAGCCGCGGUGAUACGUAGGGUGCGAGCGUUGUCCGGAUUUAUUGGGCGUAAAGGGCUCGUAGGUGGUUGAUCGCGUCGGAAGUGUAAUCUUGGGGCUUAACCCUGAGCGUGCUUUCGAUACGGGUUGACUUGAGGAAGGUAGGGGAGAAUGGAAUUCCUGGUGGAGCGGUGGAAUGCGCAGAUAUCAGGAGGAACACCAGUGGCGAAGGCGGUUCUCUGGGCCUUUCCUGACGCUGAGGAGCGAAAGCGUGGGGAGCGAACAGGCUUAGAUACCCUGGUAGUCCACGCUGUAAACGGUGGGUACUAGAUGUGGGGUCCAUUCCACGGGUUCCGUGCCGUAGCUAACGCUUUAAGUACCCCGCCUGGGGAGUACGGCCGCAAGGCUAAAACUCAAAGGAAUUGGCGGGGCCCCGCACAAGCGGCGGAGCAUGCGGAUUAAUUCGAUGCAACGCGUAGAACCUUACCUGGGUUUGACAUGGAUCGGGAGUGCUCAGAGAUGGGUGUGCCUCUUUUGGGGUCGGUUCACAGGUGGUGCAUGGCUGUCGUCAGCUCGUGUCGUGAGAUGUUGGGUUAAGUCCCGCAACGAGCGCAACCCUUGUUCACUGUUGCCAGCACGUUAUGGUGGGGACUCAGUGGAGACCGCCGGGGUCAACUCGGAGGAAGGUGGGGAUGACGUCAAGUCAUCAUGCCCCUUAUGUCCAGGGCUUCACGCAUGCUACAAUGGCUGGUACAGAGAGUGGCGAGCCUGUGAGGGUGAGCGAAUCUCGGAAAGCCGGUCUCAGUUCGGAUUGGGGUCUGCAACUCGACCUCAUGAAGUCGGAGUCGCUAGUAAUCGCAGAUCAGCAACGCUGCGGUGAAUACGUUCCCGGGGCU
RNAcentral lists this ribosomal RNA (1346 nucleotides) under uncultured bacterium. RNAcentral describes it as "partial 16S ribosomal RNA". It matches the Rfam family "Bacterial small subunit ribosomal RNA", at positions 28 to 1381 of the family's 1533-position model. The record is from RNAcentral.